GACUAAAACCGGAUGAGAAAUGCAUCCCACGGGGAUAGAUACACAAAUCAUCCUCGGAAUGCCACCAUUAAACUUUAUCUUGGCUUACAGCCCCCAUGUCAUUACUUCAAGCUCUUUUACGUUACCUUAAAACUUCUUUUUUUUCAUUUCAGAUUCCGGCAACGAUAUGAUAGAAGCGGUUGUGGUGGAUGAAGAAACAGUUGACUUGGUAAAGGAGCAUUGGUUUGGUAUCUCUCUGAAACCAAAUCCACCGAUUCUCCUCAGGUGGUUUUUGCAUUGCUUACCACAGUAAUCUAAUAGACAACCAAGGAGGGAUCUGAAGAUGAAAUGGAGGUGGAACAGGAGAUUCCGUCCGUUGUAGCCAGUAUGUAAAUGUACCAUCCAUCAUCAUCAUCCAGCACCUCUGGUAAAUGUAUCUCUGUAUGCAUAAAUCUUUAUGUAUUUUUUGUACAUAAAUGAAACAAAGGAAGUAACAAACUAACAACGUUGGAUCAGAGUUUAAAAGAACACAUGGACUGGAUGCACCGUUUCCACAUUGAUUAAUGAUGAUGUAACUCUUACGCAA
Molecule: long non-coding RNA, 565 nt
Organism: Raphanus sativus (radish)
Lineage: Eukaryota; Viridiplantae; Streptophyta; Magnoliopsida; Brassicales; Brassicaceae
Exons: 2
Source: RefSeq, a predicted model, not a curated record